Molecule: long non-coding RNA, 225 nt
Filed under: Olea europaea (common olive)
Lineage: Eukaryota; Viridiplantae; Streptophyta; Magnoliopsida; Lamiales; Oleaceae
Description: long non-coding RNA (OEUR_LNC001472)
Source: RNAcentral
CCUGGUCUUUUGUUGAAACGAUCUUGUUCAAAUAAAUCGAAUCUAUCAAAAGUUGUGGAUGGAGUACCAUGACUUUCCCUGUAUUGAGUCAAUCGACUAAGCUUUCUGGAAGGAAAUAGAAUCUAUACAGGGAUAAGCCACUGAUAAGGGGGUGGCAGAUAAAAACAAGAAAUCUUCUUUUUCAUUAUAUAAUAUAGAUAUGAUCCGAGUGACAGUGUUAGUAAC